UGGGGAAUAUUGCACAAUGGAGGAAACUCUGAUGCAGCGACGCCGCGUGAGUGAAGAAGUAUUUCGGUAUGUAAAGCUCUAUCAGCAGGGAAGAAAAAUGACGGUACCUGACUAAGAAGCACCGGCUAAAUACGUGCC
Molecule: ribosomal RNA, 138 nt
Filed under: uncultured bacterium
Lineage: Bacteria
Description: partial 16S ribosomal RNA
Rfam family: Bacterial small subunit ribosomal RNA
Source: RNAcentral